GUGGCGAACGGGUGAGUAACACGUGAGUAACCUGCCCCUGACUCUGGGAUAAGCGUUGGAAACGACGUCUAAUACUGGAUAUGACUGCCGGCCGCAUGGUCUGGUGGUGGAAAGAUUUUUUGGUUGGGGAUGGACUCGCGGCCUAUCAGCUUGUUGGUGAGGUAAUGGCUCACCAAGGCGACGACGGGUAGCCGGCCUGAGAGGGUGACCGGCCACACUGGGACUGAGACACGGCCCAGACUCCUACGGGAGGCAGCAGUGGGGAAUAUUGCACAAUGGGCGAAAGCCUGAUGCAGCAACGCCGCGUGAGGGAUGACGGCCUUCGGGUUGUAAACCUCUUUUAGUAGGGAAGAAGCGAAAGUGACGGUACCUGCAGAAAAAGCACCGGCUAACUACGUGCCAGCAGCCGCGGUAAUACGUAGGGUGCAAGCGUUGUCCGGAAUUAUUGGGCGUAAAGAGCUCGUAGGCGGUUUGUCGCGUCUGCUGUGAAAUCCCGAGGCUCAACCUCGGGCUUGCAGUGGGUACGGGCAGACUAGAGUGCGGUAGGGGAGAUUGGAAUUCCUGGUGUAGCGGUGGAAUGCGCAGAUAUCAGGAGGAACACCGAUGGCGAAGGCAGAUCU
Molecule: ribosomal RNA, 620 nt
Filed under: Curtobacterium sp. I12A-00867
Lineage: Bacteria; Bacillati; Actinomycetota; Actinomycetes; Micrococcales; Microbacteriaceae
Description: bacterial SSU rRNA
Rfam family: Bacterial small subunit ribosomal RNA
Source: RNAcentral